Molecule: ribosomal RNA, 501 nt
Filed under: uncultured bacterium
Lineage: Bacteria
Description: partial 16S ribosomal RNA
Rfam family: Bacterial small subunit ribosomal RNA
Source: RNAcentral
AUUGAACGCUGGCGGCAGGCUUAACACAUGCAAGUCGAGCGGAGAUGAGGUGCUUGCACCUUAUCUUAGCGGCGGACGGGUGAGUAAUGCUUAGGAAUCUGCCUAUUAGUGGGGGACAACAUUCCGAAAGGAAUGCUAAUACCGCAUACGUCCUACGGGAGAAAGCAGGGGAUUUUCGGACCUCUCGCUAACAUAUGAGCCUAAGUCGGAUUAGCUAGUUGGUGGGGUAAAGGCCUACCAAGGCGACGAUCUGUAGCGGGUCUGAGAGGAUGAUCCGCCACACUGGGACUGAGACACGGCCCAGACUCCUACGGGAGGCAGCAGUGGGGAAUAUUGGACAAUGGGGGAAACCCUGAUCCAGCCAUGCCGCGUGUGUGAAGAAGGCCUUAUGGUUGUAAAGCACUUUAAGCGAGGAGGAGGCUACUGAGACUAAUACUCUUGGAUAGUGGACGUUACUCGCAGAAUAAGCACCGGCUAACUCUGUGCCAGCAGCCGCGGUAA